Molecule: small nuclear RNA, 107 nt
Filed under: Dasypus novemcinctus (nine-banded armadillo)
Lineage: Eukaryota; Metazoa; Chordata; Mammalia; Cingulata; Dasypodidae
Source: RNAcentral
GUGCUCACCUUAGCAACGCACAUAUUAAAAUUGGAAUGAUAUAGAGAAAAUUAGCAUGGCCCCUGUGCAAGGAUGACACGCAACUUCGUGAAGCGUUCUAUAUUUUU